GUGCCAGCCGCCGCGGUAAUACGUAGGGGGCAAGCGUUGUCCGGAAUUAUUGGGCGUAAAGCGCGUGUAGGCGGUCCACUAAGUCGGCUGUGAAAGUCCAGGGCUCAACCCUGGGAUGCCGGUCGAUACUGGUGGACUAGAGUCCGGAAGAGGCGAGUGGAAUUCCCGGUGUAGCGGUGAAAUGCGCAGAUAUCGGGAGGAACACCAAUGGCGAAGGCAGCUCGCUGGGACGGUACUGACGCUGAGACGCGAAAGCGUGGGGAGCAAACAGGAUUAGAUACCCUGGUAGUCC
RNAcentral lists this ribosomal RNA (292 nucleotides) under uncultured bacterium. RNAcentral's name for it is "partial 16S ribosomal RNA". It matches the Rfam family "Bacterial small subunit ribosomal RNA", at positions 505 to 796 of the family's 1533-position model. The record is from RNAcentral.